AUUCCCCUUGAUGAGGUUUGUCAACAGCACGUUGACUGAAGACUUCUGUGUGACGUCAGACACAACCUCAUUGUUGUGGAAAUCCAGUGAAAGUCUGCUUUCAUCCAGGCCGUCAAAGAUGAACAAAAGUUUACAGACAGCGAGCUGCUCUGCUGUGACCUUCUGUAAUGUUGGAUGGAAAACAUGGAGCAGUGUGAGAAGACUGUACUGCUCAUCUUUGAUCAGGUUCAGCUCCCUGAA
Long non-coding RNA from Dicentrarchus labrax (European seabass), 240 nucleotides. RefSeq lists it as uncharacterized. Lineage: Eukaryota; Metazoa; Chordata; Actinopteri; Moronidae. The record is from RefSeq and is a predicted model, not a curated record. The transcript has 3 exons.